Molecule: ribosomal RNA, 313 nt
Filed under: uncultured bacterium
Lineage: Bacteria
Description: bacterial SSU rRNA
Rfam family: Bacterial small subunit ribosomal RNA
Source: RNAcentral
CCGGGGGAAAGAUUUAUCGCUAUUAGAUGGGCCCGCGUUGGAUUAGCUAGUUGGUGAGGUAACGGCCCACCAAGGCGACGAUGGGUAGCUGGUCUGAGAGGAUGAUCAGCCACACUGGAACUGAGACACGGUCCAGACUCCUACGGGAGGCAGCAGGUGGGGUAAUUUUGCGCAAUGGGCGAAAGCCUGACGCAGCAACGCCGCGUGUGUGACGAAGGCCCUAGGGUUGUAAAGCACUGUGGGAAGGGAAGAAAAACGGGGGUUGUACCCCGUCUUGACGGUACCUUGUUAGAAAGCACCGGCUAACUCCGUG